CCUUUGACGUUAGCGGCGUACGGGUGAGUAACACGUGGGUAACCUACCUAUAAGACUGGGAUAACUUCGGGAAACCGGAGCUAAUACCGGAUAAUAUUUCGAACCGUAUGGUUCGAUAGUGAAAGAUGGUUUUGCUAUCACUUAUAGAUGGACCCGCGCCGUAUUAGCUAGUUGGUAAGGUAACGGCUUACCAAGGCGACGAUACGUAGCCGACCUGAGAGGGUGAUCGGCCACACUGGAACUGAGACACGGUCCAGACUCCUACGGGAGGCAGCAGCG
RNAcentral lists this ribosomal RNA (279 nucleotides) under uncultured Staphylococcus sp. RNAcentral describes it as "partial 16S ribosomal RNA". It matches the Rfam family "Bacterial small subunit ribosomal RNA", at positions 83 to 356 of the family's 1533-position model. Lineage: Bacteria; Bacillati; Bacillota; Bacilli; Caryophanales; Staphylococcaceae. The record is from RNAcentral.